GGGUGCGUAACACGUGGGCAACCUGCCUCUAAGUUGGGGAUAACCCGCCGAAAGGAGGGCUAACACCGAAUGUGAUGUUUCGACGCCUGUCGAGAUUAUCAAAGAUGGGGAUCCGUAAGGACCCGUCGCUUGGAGAGGGGCCCGCGUCCUAUCAGCUUGUUGGUGAGGUAACGGCCCACCAAGGCUUACGGGUAGCUGGUCUGAGAGGAUGGUCAGCCACACUGGGACUGAGACACUGCCCAGACUCCUACGGGAGGCUGCAGUCGAGGAUCAUUCGCAAUGCGCGAAAGCGUGACGAUGCGACGCUGCGUGGAGGAUGACGGCCUUCGGGUUGUAAACUCCUGUCAUUCGGGAAAAACGACAAGGGGGGUAAUAUCCCUCUUGAGUGAUGGUACCGGAAGAGGAAGCCACGGCUAACUCUGUGCCAGCAGCCGCGGUAAUACAGAGGUGGCGGGCGUUGUUCGGAUUUACUGGGCGUAAAGGGUGCGUAGGUGGUUCCGCGUGUCGGAUGUGAAAGCCCACUGCUCAAUGGUGGAAUGGCAUUCGAAACUGCGGGGCUAGAGUGCAGGAGAGGAGAGCGGAAUUCUUGGUGUAGCGGUGGAAUGCGUUGAUAUCAAGAAGAACACCGGUGGCGUAGGCGGCUCUCUGGAGUGUUACUGACACUGAGGCACGAAAGCGUGGGGAGCAAACAGGAUUAGAUACCCUGGUAGUCCACGCCCUAAACGGUGCACACUUGGUGUGGGGGGAAUUGACCCCCUCCGCGCCGGAGCUAACGCGUUAAGUGUGCCGCCUGGGGAGUACGGUCGCAAGAUUAAAACUCAAAGAAAUUGACGGGGGCCCGCACAAGCGGAGGAGCAUGUGGCUUAAUUCGAUGCAACGCGAAGAACCUUACCAGGACUUGACAUGCAACUGCACAUCCUGUGAAAGCAGGAUUCCUUCGAGGGUGUUGCACAGGUGCUGCAUGGCUGUCGUCAGUUCGUGCCGUGAGGUGUUGGGUUAAGUCCCGCAACGAACGCAACCCUUGUGUUUAGUUGCUACCAUCGGUGAUAAGCCGGUGAGCACUCUAAACAGACUGCCCGUGAAAAGCGGGAGGAAGGUGGGGAUGACGUCAAGUCAGUAUGGCCUUUAUGUCCUGGCUGCACACGUGCUACAAUGGUCGGUACAGAGGGGAGCAAGACCGCAAGGUGGAGCCAAUCCUAAAAACCGGCCCCAGUUCAGAUUGAAGGCUGAAACUCGCCUUCAUGAAGUUGGAUUCGCUAGUAAUGGCGCAUCAGCUACGGCGCCGUGAGUACGUUCCCGGGCCUUGUACACACCGCCCGUCACAUCAUGAAAGCCGCCUGCACCCAACGUCGCUGC
This 1356-nucleotide ribosomal RNA is filed under the name metagenome. RNAcentral describes it as "bacterial SSU rRNA". It matches the Rfam family "Bacterial small subunit ribosomal RNA", at positions 104 to 1433 of the family's 1533-position model. The record is from RNAcentral.